AUAGGUGCCCGUACCGCAAACCGACACAGGUAGUCAAGAUGAGAAUUCUAAGGUGAGCGAGCGAACUCUCGUUAAGGAACUCGGCAAAAUGACCCCGUAACUUCGGGAGAAGGGGUGCUCUUUAGGGUUAACGCCCAGAAGAGCCGCAGUGAAUAGGCCCAAGCGACUGUUUAUCAAAAACACAGGUCUCUGCUAAACCGUAAGGUGAUGUAUAGGGGCUGACGCCUGCCCGGUGCUGGAAGGUUAAGAGGAGUGGUUAGCUUCUGCGAAGCUACGAAUCGAAGCCCCAGUAAACGGCGGCCGUAACUAUAACGGUCCUAAGGUAGCGAAAUUCCUUGUCGGGUAAGUUCCGACCCGCACGAAAGGCGUAACGAUUUGGGCACUGUCUCAACGAGAGACUCGGUGAAAUCAUAGUACCUGUGAAGAUGCAGGUUACCCGCGACAGGACGGAAAGACCCCGUGGAGCUUUACUGUAGCCUGAUAU
This 484-nucleotide ribosomal RNA is filed under the name Staphylococcus aureus. RNAcentral describes it as "partial 23S ribosomal RNA". It matches the Rfam family "Bacterial large subunit ribosomal RNA", at positions 1634 to 2117 of the family's 2925-position model. The record is from RNAcentral. Lineage: Bacteria; Bacillati; Bacillota; Bacilli; Caryophanales; Staphylococcaceae.